CGCUAACACUCCUACGGGAGUAGCAGUAGGGAAUAUUGGUCAAUGGGCGAAAGCCUGAACCAGCCAUGCCGCGUGUCAGAUGAAGGUCCUCUGGAUUGUAAAUGACUUUUCUACGGGAAGAAUGAGCCGUCUGCGGACGGAAGUUGACGGUACCGUAGGAAUAAGCACCGGCUAACUACGUGCCAGCAGCCGCGGUAAUACGUAGGGUGCAAGCGUUGUCCGGAUUUACUGGGUUUAAAGGGUACGUAGGCGGUUGUGCCAAGUCUGGGGUGAAAGUUUGCAGCUCAACUGUAAAAAUUGCCUUGGAUACUGGUCGGCUAGAGUAGUGGAGCGGUGGCUGGAAUUUAUAGUGUAGCGGUGAAAAUGCUUAGAUACUAUGAGGAACACCAAUUGCGAAGGCAGGUCACUGGUCACUAACUGACGCUGAGGUACGAAAGUGUGGGGAUCAAACAGGAUUAGAUACCCUGGUAG
This 471-nucleotide ribosomal RNA is filed under the name uncultured bacterium. RNAcentral's name for it is "bacterial SSU rRNA". It matches the Rfam family "Bacterial small subunit ribosomal RNA", at positions 328 to 793 of the family's 1533-position model. The record is from RNAcentral.